GUGUGAACAGCUGCCUGAGAAAGACACUCCCGGUGAAUGUGCGGUGGCUUCUGUGUGGUUGUCUUUGUUGCUGUUGCACACUGGGCUUCAGUUUGUGGCCCGUCAUCUGCCUCAGCAAAAGGACAAGAAGAUCUAUAGAGAAACUUUUGGAGUGGGAAAACAGCAGACUUUACCACAAGUUGUGUUUGCAUUGGAGACUAAGCAAAAGGAAGUGUGAAA
Molecule: long non-coding RNA, 219 nt
Organism: Oreochromis niloticus (Nile tilapia)
Lineage: Eukaryota; Metazoa; Chordata; Actinopteri; Cichliformes; Cichlidae
Exons: 3
Source: RefSeq, a predicted model, not a curated record